UUACCGAGUGUAGGGUUCCUAGCGAGCCCAACCUCCCACCCGUGUUUACUGUACCUUAGUUGCUUCGGCGGGCCCGCCAUUCAUGGCCGCCGGGGGCUCUCAGCCCCGGGCCCGCGCCCGCCGGAGACACCACGAACUCUGUCUGAUCUAGUGAAGUCUGAGUUGAUUGUAUCGCAAUCAGUUAAAACUUUCAACAAUGGAUCUCUUGGUUCCGGCAUCGAUGAAGAACGCAGCGAAAUGCGAUAACUAGUGUGAAUUGCAGAAUUCCGUGAAUCAUCGAGUCUUUGAACGCACAUUGCGCCCCCUGGUAUUCCGGGGGGCAUGCCUGUCCGAGCGUCAUUGCUGCCCAUCAAGCACGGCUUGUGUGUUGGGUCGUCGUCCCCUCUCCGGGGGGGACGGGCCCCAAAGGCAGCGGCGGCACCGCGUCCGAUCCUCGAGCGUAUGGGGCUUUGUCACCCGCUCUGUAGGCCCGGCCGGCGCUUGCCGAACGCAAAUCAAUCUUUUCCAGGUUGACCUCGGAUCAGGUAGGGAUACCCGCUGAACUUAAGCAUAUCAAUAAGCGGAGGAAAAGAAACCAACCGGGAUUGCCUCAGUAACGGCGAGUGAAGCGGCAAGAGCUCAAAUUUGAAAGCUGGCUCCUUCGGGGUCCGCAUUGUAAUUUGCAGAGGAUGCUUCGGGUGCGGCCCCUGUCUAAGUGCCCUGGAACGGGCCGUCAGAGAGGGUGAGAAUCCCGUCUGGGAUGGGGUGUCCGCGCCCGUGUGAAGCUCCUUCGACGAGUCGAGUUGUUUGGGAAUGCAGCUCUAAAUGGGUGGUAAAUUUCAUCUAAAGCUAAAUACUGGCCGGAGACCGAUAGCGCACAAGUAGAGUGAUCGAAA
RNAcentral lists this ribosomal RNA (875 nucleotides) under Aspergillus flavus. Its description in RNAcentral is "eukaryotic LSU rRNA". The stretch from base 511 to 875 matches the Rfam family "Eukaryotic large subunit ribosomal RNA", at positions 1 to 362 of the family's 3401-position model. Lineage: Eukaryota; Fungi; Ascomycota; Eurotiomycetes; Eurotiales; Aspergillaceae. The record is from RNAcentral.